AGCCCUAUAGUAUAGUGGUCAAGUAUACUGCCCUCUGAAGGCGGUGACCCAGGUUCGAAUCCUGGUGGGGCUA
This 73-nucleotide transfer RNA is filed under the name Nanobdellota archaeon. RNAcentral's name for it is "tRNA-Gln". It matches the Rfam family "tRNA". From Rfam's summary of the family: Transfer RNA (tRNA) molecules are approximately 80 nucleotides in length. Their secondary structure includes four short double-helical elements and three loops (D, anti-codon, and T loops). Lineage: Archaea; Nanobdellati; Nanobdellota. The record is from RNAcentral.